AGUUCUUGAAGAAACAAGUAUGGUGCUCCCAGGAGAGUGGACAAGCUAACCAUUGCAUCCGAGGGGACUUGAGAUAAAGACCAAAGCCCUCACCUGCCCUGGAGGCCUUGAGUGACAUGGUCCUCCCCUCACCUGCCUGGGGAAACCACUCUUGCUCCUGAGGGCUCCAGACUUCACCUGCAGUUGCUCUCUUAGUUCAUCGAAACAGAUGGGCUUCUUCCUGCCUCAGGGCCAUUGCUCCUGCUGUCCUCCUGCCUGAAUCAUCGCAGCAGACUGCCAGCCCUUCUGCUGUCUUUGGCUGCACACUUCUUUUCUUUGGCCAGCCAAGAGAUGACUGAAGUUUGAAUUUGAAUGCCUUAAGGCCAGUAGACUUCCUCCAGUGGGCCUUCAGUUCUAAUAUUUCUUGUUGUCUUACCCCUGCCAGAUGCACACAUUUGUGUUACCUGCCUGAUCUCUUAAAGGAAUUUGAGUUUGCAAUCUCUGGACUAAUUAAUGUCUACUGAUCAACCAAUAAAGCACAAAUGCCACCUCCUCACAAAAACUUUCACAGCCCCACAAAAAAUCCUGUACUUUCCCUUCAUAGCACUUGUCACAACAACAAUUAAAUAACUAAUUGUGUUAUUACA
This 626-nucleotide long non-coding RNA is filed under the name Homo sapiens (human). RNAcentral describes it as "long intergenic non-protein coding RNA 1010". Lineage: Eukaryota; Metazoa; Chordata; Mammalia; Primates; Hominidae. The record is from RNAcentral.